This 253-nucleotide ribosomal RNA is filed under the name uncultured bacterium. Its description in RNAcentral is "partial 16S ribosomal RNA". It matches the Rfam family "Bacterial small subunit ribosomal RNA", at positions 524 to 776 of the family's 1533-position model. The record is from RNAcentral.
UACGGAGGGGGCAAGCGUUGUUCGGAAUUACUGGGCGUAAAGGGCGCGUAGGCGGCAAGGCAAGUCAGGCGUGAAAGCCCCGAGCUUAACUCGGGAAUUGCAUCUGAAACUGCUGUGCUUGAGUUCUGGAGGGGGUAGUGGAAUUCCCAGUGUAGCGGUGAAAUGCGUAGAUAUUGGGAGGAACACCUGCGGCGAAGGCGGCUACCUGGACAGAAACUGACGCUGAGGCGCGAAAGCUAGGGGAGCGAACGGG